RNAcentral lists this ribosomal RNA (952 nucleotides) under Microgenomates bacterium clone OPS128. RNAcentral's name for it is "bacterial SSU rRNA". It matches the Rfam family "Bacterial small subunit ribosomal RNA", at positions 524 to 1482 of the family's 1533-position model. Lineage: Bacteria; Candidatus Microgenomatota. The record is from RNAcentral.
UACGUGGGCCCCAAACGUUAUCCGGUUUUACUGGGUGUAAAAUGUCGUGUAGGUGUUCUGGUAAGUUUUUGUUUAAAGACUAAGGCUUAACCUUAGAAAAGACAAAAAUACUACCAGAAUAGAGUUAUCUUUAGGGAGAUUGGAACUCAAGGAGGAGUAGUGAAAUGCGUUGAUACCUUGGGGAACACCAGUGGCGAAGGCGAAUCUCUGGAAGAUAACUGACACUGAGACACGAAAGCUAGGGGAGCGAAGCAGAUUAGAGACCUGCGUAGUCCUAGCCUUAAACGCAUGCUUGCUAGCCGCAUUUUGUCUGACUUUUGUCUGACAAGGUGUAGCGAAGGUAACCCGUUAAGCAAGCUACCUGGGGAGUACGACCGCAAGGUUAAAACUCAAAGGAAUUGGCGGGGAGGCACACAACCAGUGGAACAUGUGGUUCAAUUCGAUACAAACCGAAGAACCUCACCAAGAUUUGACAUGCUAGCGUCCUAUUUCGCAGAAAUGCGAAAAAUUCGCAAGAAGGCUAGCACAGGUGCUGCAUGGCUGUCGUCAGCUCGUUCCGUGAGGAGUACCCUUAAGUGGGACAACGAGCGCAACCCUUGUCUUGUGUUAAAUCUGUCACAAGAUACUGCCCCGACAUUUCGUCGGGGAGGAAGGAAAGGCAGACGUCAAGUCAGCAUGGUCCUUAUAUCUUGGGCUACACACAUGUUACAAUGAGAUGAACAGCGGGCUUUGCCAAACGGCAACGUUUUAGCAAAUCCCACAAAUCAUCUCUCAGUUGGGAUUGAGGUCUGCAACCCGACCUCAUGAACACGGAAUUGGUAGUAAUUGCGGAUCAGUCAUGCCGCGGUGAAUACGUUCUUGCCUCUUGCACACACCGCCCGUCAAGCCAACAAAGUCGGUGAUAUUCGAAUUCCGAUUUAAUCGGGAGAGAAUAUUGUCGGCGAUGGGGGUU